GACGUAGGGCGCGAGCGUUGUCCGGAUUUAUUGGGCGUAAAGAGCUCGUAGGCGGCUUGUCGCGUCGAAUGUGAAAUCUCGGGGCUCAACUCCGAGCUUGCAUUCGAUACGGGCAGGCUAGAGUUCGGUAGGGGAGACUGGAAUUCCUGGUGUAGCGGUGAAAUGCGCAGAUAUCAGGAGGAACACCGGUGGCGAAGGCGGGUCUCUGGGCCGAUACUGACGCUGAGGAGCGAAAGCGUGGGGAGCGAACAGA
Molecule: ribosomal RNA, 253 nt
Filed under: uncultured bacterium
Lineage: Bacteria
Description: partial 16S ribosomal RNA
Rfam family: Bacterial small subunit ribosomal RNA
Source: RNAcentral